RNAcentral lists this ribosomal RNA (1435 nucleotides) under metagenome. RNAcentral's name for it is "bacterial SSU rRNA". It matches the Rfam family "Archaeal small subunit ribosomal RNA". The record is from RNAcentral.
UCCCGUUGAUCCUGCGGGGGAGUGCUGCUAUUGGAGUUCGAUUAAGCCAUGCAAGUCAGAGGGUCCGCAAGGACACAGGCUGAAUGCUCAGUAACACGUCAAUAAUCUGCCCUUAAGUACGGGAUACCCUUGAGAAAUUGAGGUUAAGACCGUAUCGGUAAGAAAUACUGGAAUGUUUUUUUACUUAAAGGCAACGCUUAAGGAUGAGUUGGCGGCUGAUUAGGCUGUUGGCGGUGUAACGGACCACCAAACCUUUGAUCAGUACGGGCCAUGAGAGUGGGAGCCCGGAGAGGGAUACUUAGACACGGAUCCCAGCCCUACGGGGUGCAGCAGGCGCGAAAACUUUACACUGUACGCAAGUGCGAUAAGGGAACUCCAAGUGCUCAAGCAAUGCUUGGGCUUUUGCCAAGUGGAAGUAGCUUGGCGAAUAAGUGGUGGGUAAGACGGGUGCCAGCCGCCGCGGUAACACCUGCGCCACAAGUGGGAUUCACAUUUAUUGGGCCUAAAGCGUUCGUAGCCGGAUCAGUAAGUCUUGGGUGAAAUCGUUGCGCUUAACAAAACGGCGUGCCUGAGAAACUACUAAUCUAGGGACCGGGAGGAGUUAGGAGUAUUCCUGAGGGAGCGGUAAAAUGCUAUAAUCUCAGGAGGACUACCUGUGGCGAAGGCGCCUAACUAGAACGGGUUCGACGGUGAGGAACGAAAGCUAGGGGAGCAAAAGGGAUUAGAUACCCCAGUAGUCCUAGCUGUAAACUCUGUGAAUUAGAUGGUGCAUAUUCUUCGUGAAUAUGCACUGUCGGAGCGAAGACAUUAAAUUCACCGCCUGGGAAGUACGGUCGCAAGGCUGAAACUUAAAGGAAUUGGCGGGAGAGCACUACAAGGGGUGCGGCGUGCGGUUUAAUCUAACUCUACGCAGAGAAUCUCACCAGCAGCGACGGCAGAAUGAAGGUCAGGUCGAAUGUCUUACCUAACGAGCCGAGAGGUAGUGCAUGGCCGUCGUCAGCUCGUGCCGUGAGGUGUCCUCUUAAGUGAGGUAACGAGCGAGACCCAUGCCCAUAAUUGCUAGCGGGUACUUUAGUAUGACUGAGUACAUUAUGGGGACUGCUGUGGAAACACAGAGGAAGGUGUGGGCUACGGUAGGUCUGUAUGCUCCGAAUCUGCUGGGCUACACGCGCGCAACAAUGGCGGAGACAAUGGGAUGCUACACCGAAAGGUGACGCUAAACCUCCAAACUCCGUCUUAGUUUAGAUUGAGGAUUGUAAUUCAUCCUCAUGACACCGGAAUCCCUAGUAAUCGGGCCUUAUCACAGCCCGGUGAAUAUGUCCCUGCUCUUUGCACACACCGCCCGUCAAACCAACCGAAUUGGGUUCGGGUGAGAUGUAGUUUUCAAUUACAUCGAAUCCGGAUUUGGUGAGGUGGGUUAAGUCGUCACAAGGUA